AACGAACGCUGGCGGCAGGCUUAACACAUGCAAGUCGAGCGCCUCGCAAGAGGAGCGGCAGACGGGUGAGUAACGCGUGGGAACGUACCCUUAUCUUCGGAAUAGCUCUGGGAAACUGGAAGUAAUACCGAAUGUGCCCUUAGGGGGAAAGAUUUAUCGGAUAAGGAUCGGCCCGCGUUGGAUUAGCUAGUUGGUGGGGUAAAGGCCUACCAAGGCGACGAUCCAUAGCUGGCCUGAGAGGAUGAUCAGCCACAUUGGGACUGAGACACGGCCCAAACUCCUACGGGAGGCAGCAGUGGGGAAUAUUGGACAAUGGGCGCAAGCCUGAUCCAGCCAUGCCGCGUGAGUGAUGAAGGCCUUAGGGUUGUAAAGCUCUUUCACCGGAGAAGAUAAUGACGGUAUCCGGAGGAGAAGCCCCGGCUAACUUCGU
RNAcentral lists this ribosomal RNA (430 nucleotides) under uncultured bacterium. Its description in RNAcentral is "partial 16S ribosomal RNA". It matches the Rfam family "Bacterial small subunit ribosomal RNA", at positions 29 to 506 of the family's 1533-position model. The record is from RNAcentral.